GCAAGUCGAACGAGAAAGUUCCUGCUUGCAGGAGCGAGUAUAGUGGGGCACGGGUGAGUAACACGUUGGUAAUCUACCUUCAAAUUUGGAAUAACUAUUCGAAAGGGUAGCUAAUACCGAAUAUAAUUUUUAUAUCUUUGGAUGUAAGAAUGAAAGACAGCCUCUGAUUUAAGCUGUUGUUUGGAGAUGAGUCCGCGUACCAUUAGCUAGCUGGUGGGGUAAAGGCCUACCAGGGCGACGAUGGUUAGCUGGUCUGAGAGGAUGAUC
Molecule: ribosomal RNA, 267 nt
Filed under: uncultured bacterium
Lineage: Bacteria
Description: partial 16S ribosomal RNA
Rfam family: Bacterial small subunit ribosomal RNA
Source: RNAcentral